RNAcentral lists this long non-coding RNA (2682 nucleotides) under Gadus morhua (Atlantic cod). RNAcentral describes it as "lncRNA (ENSGMOG00000030753.1)". Lineage: Eukaryota; Metazoa; Chordata; Actinopteri; Gadiformes; Gadidae. The record is from RNAcentral.
AUGGCCGUCCCGUUGCUAGAACACGGCAGCGCCAAACAUUUCACUGACGACUGCUUCCUCAACUUGGGCCAAUACAGUGCUGGACUUGCUCAACGUCUGAAAAUCAAGUCUGGAUCAGUACCAACUCUCCUCGGCUCAGCUACAAACCUCGAAAAAGCCAGCUCAUCAAGUGCUUACAUUCAGCAGCUUCUCUCAAGGGAUGUUGCCUGCCAGACAGAAAACCUGGAAACGCAUAUUUGUAGGCACAAAGCUGUCCUUAAAGUCUAUGCAGCCCCAUUUUAAAAGUGAAGGUGUGUACAUUACUCAUUGAGUAUUUUUUUUCUUUGAUUUGGUAGAUUCUAGGCAGCAUAAAUUCUAGGCUGAUGCUAGAUUCUAACUGCGCUAAAAAGCCUGGUCCUCUUUGGAAAAGCAUCAUGACCAGCGCCCUGCUAAAACACGAGUCCAACUUGGGAGUUGCAUUUCAAAGAUGGAAUCAGUCAAGAGCCCAGAAUGGUUUCAAGACAGAUGCCACAUGAGCUGGUUUAUCAUUCUCAAACAUCAAGGAAUUCAUAAUGCAUGAAUGUUAGCUGAUCAGCUUAGAGGGAAGGAGACGUUGUUGCUUUUUAGUGUCGAAACAGAAUUGCGCUUCGCAUGUCAUGUUGUGAUCAGAUAAUUUUGCGCUGGUGUUCGUUGAGUGUCCUUAACCUGGCCAACCACUUGAGCUUUGAGUCUAGGGAGGAGGGUGCUGGAGGUGACGUCCCUCUCCAAAACUGAAUCUUUGUCAGCAGUACCCAUUUUAAACCCUCUGUGUCAAUGUUGCAUACAUUUAAAGAUGCCUCCCAUAAAGGGAGGCAUUGUGUACAAAUACACAAUGCCUCCCUUUAUGCAAAUAAUGUAUCAAAACAAUUGAUUUUUCCUUGUUUUCUCCGUCUGCAGAAGACUGCGAUGCCUUUGGAGACCGUAGCACUCAGUGUUGCGCCACCUCAGAGAUUCUUGGUGUGGACGCCCCUGGCUCCUCCCACAUGUCCAGUCACAGCGAGGAGCUGAAGAUUCUGAGCGUCUACGGAAAAGGGGAGGGCCCACUGGCGGAGGACGGCCAUGACACCCUCUUCACCUCGUCAGAAGUGGAGGCCCUGAACUCGCUGCCUGCGGACCACCGCGCGGCCAAGAGCCAGGAGCGCGGUGAGCGGCUGGUCUGCCACGAGGAGCUGCGUGUGCAGGUUGGAAAUCAUCUUCUCAUUCACCAUCCAAAAGAGAGGUUUCCUCUGUUACAACUCUAAAACAAACCCAUAGAAAGCUCACACCUUUAUGAUUCAGUAAACGUUUUUACACCGCCAAAUAUGCCCGUCUUAUGCCCAACUUUUCCCCUGUGUGAUCUGCACGUUUACACUGAGCGAGGUAAUUUACAGGCUUUAUUUCACACCCCUAUUAACCCUCUCUGACCCUACACAUAUUGGGGGUUUCAUUUUGAUGUAAAUGCGAUAAGACAGCCUUGCGGUUCUAGGGGGGAGGCUUGGGUAGAGGUGUUGCUGCAUUGUCUCUACAACAGAGACGAUGCAGCGAUAUCAACAUGAAUAGUUGUAACUGGAGAGACGGCGAAAUCCGCAAGCUGCUGACCAUCAUGGGAGAGAAGGUGAUGCAGUCGCAUUUAAAGAAGACGAAAGAUGGUCGAUCUAAGAGAAAGUACCAGACAAACUUUCUUUACAAUGCUUCGUCAGCAAAGUGGUUUGAAAAAAAUAAUAAAAAAUCCGGCAUUUUUGCACUUGUAAAUAGUUAAUCGCGUUUUAUCCUACACUCAGAUUUGAACUCAUUCUUGCAUGCGAGGGUCUUGAAUCAAAAAGAUGUUAAUAUCUAUUUGCAAUUCAUUGUAAAGAGUCCUACACUCGGUGUGUAGCCCCGCCUUCUCCGGUGAACCAAGAAAGUCAGCUCAGAGACGAAGGCAAGGCGGUCAAGGCAACUUUAUUCAUAUAGCACUUUUCAUACACAAGGCAGACUCAGUGAUUCACAUAUAAACAUUGUCAUACAAUACAAUAACUGAUAAGUAAAAGAAAACAUAGCAAAGUUAAAAAGGCAUUUUAGUAUUAAAAUAGAAAAUAAAGGCAAAGUUAAAAAAGCUUUUUAGAAAGUGCAAUGUAUUUAAGAUUUAGCAGAAAGCUAAAGCAAACAUAAAAGUCUUCAAGGGGGAUUCUACCCCCUUGGUUUUACACGGGCAAGACAUUGAAAUUGCAGAGCGUGCCAAGCUGCGACCGAACCAGCUUGGCAGUGUGAAAAGGCAUAAUGUGUUGUUAGUGGGGAUUGACAGCUAAUCUGUGAAAAUGAAAGAAUAUGUCUUGUGUGUGUGCUUCCUUUUUUAUGUGUAAAGCGGCAGACCCCAGACACCAUUUCAAUAAAGGUUGAAGAGGAUAUUGGUGGAGGCUUGCCCGCCACAGGUUAGUAAUACACAUUGCAUCUAUGCAAGAAAACAACCUGGAUCAACUGAGAAUGUACUUGAUUCUACCUGCGCUAAUAAGCCUGGUCCUCUUUGGAAAAGCAUCAUGAGCAGCACCCUGCUAAAAUACGAGUCAAACUUGGGAGUUGCAUUUCAAAGAUGGAAUCAGUCAAGAGCCCAGAAGGGUUUCAAGACAGUUGCCACAUGAGCUGGUUUUUCAUUCUCAAACAUCAAUGAAUUCAUAAUGUAUAAAUAUUAGCUGAGCAGCUUACAGG